RNAcentral lists this microRNA precursor (57 nucleotides) under Homo sapiens (human). RNAcentral's name for it is "microRNA hsa-mir-4485 precursor". Lineage: Eukaryota; Metazoa; Chordata; Mammalia; Primates; Hominidae. The record is from miRBase by way of RNAcentral.
AGAGGCACCGCCUGCCCAGUGACAUGCGUUUAACGGCCGCGGUACCCUAACUGUGCA